Molecule: ribosomal RNA, 426 nt
Filed under: uncultured Oceanospirillaceae bacterium
Lineage: Bacteria; Pseudomonadati; Pseudomonadota; Gammaproteobacteria; Oceanospirillales; Oceanospirillaceae
Description: SSU rRNA
Rfam family: Bacterial small subunit ribosomal RNA
Source: RNAcentral
GCGGUGGAGCCUGUGGUUUAAUUCGACUCAACGCGAAAAACCUUAGCUCGUCUUGACAUCCUGCGAACUUUAUAGAGAUCGAUUGGUGCCUUCGGGAACGCAGUGACAGGUGCUGCAUGGCAGUCGUCAGCUCGCGUCGCGAGAUGUCGGGUUAAGUCCCCUAACGAGCGCAACCCUUGUCCUCAUUUGCCAGCACAUAAUUCCGCACACUCUACGUCGACUGCCGUAGACAAACCGGACGGAAGGUGGGGACGACCUCAAGUCAUCAUGGCCCUUAUGACCAGGGACACACACGUGCCACAAUGGAGCGUACCGAGGGAUGCUAAGCCGUGAGGAAGAGCCAAUCCCAGAAAACGUUUCGUAGUCCGGAUCGAAGUCUGCAACUAGAAUUUGCGAAGUCGGAAUCCCUAGUAAUCUGCGAAUCAG